UACAGAGGUCUCAAGCGUUGUUCGGAUUCAUUGGGCGUAAAGGGUGCGUAGGCGGCGCGGUAAGUCGGGUGUGAAAUCUUGGAGCUUAACUCCGAAACUGUAUUCGAUACUGCCGUGCUUGAGGACUGGAGAGGAGACUGGAAUUUACGGUGUAGCGGUGAAAUUCGUAGAUAUUCGCAAGAACACCAGUGGCGAAGGCGGGUCUCUGGACAGUUCCUGACGCUGAGGCACGAAGGCCAGGGGAGCAAACGGG
This 253-nucleotide ribosomal RNA is filed under the name uncultured bacterium. Its description in RNAcentral is "partial 16S ribosomal RNA". It matches the Rfam family "Bacterial small subunit ribosomal RNA", at positions 524 to 776 of the family's 1533-position model. The record is from RNAcentral.